CCCAUAAAUAAUAAAAGGUCCAUUUAGUUUCCUUAACUUUAUUUAAAGUAUCAGUUUGGUCCUUUCUGUUAAUUUAAUUCAAAAAAGCGUUAAGUUUAGGGACUAAAGUAAUACUAAUUAAAUAAGUUAAGGGACCAAACUAAUACUAAUUAAAUAAGUUAAGAGACCAAAAUUUAACGUUCUUUUGAAUUAAAUUGACAUAAAGGACCAAACAGAUACUUUAAAUAAAGUUAAGGGACCUAAACGGAACUUUUAUUACUUAUGGGA
This is a microRNA precursor of Medicago truncatula (barrel medic), 267 nucleotides long. It matches the Rfam family "MIR2655 microRNA precursor family". The record is from Rfam. NCBI's taxonomy places the organism in Eukaryota, Viridiplantae, Streptophyta, Magnoliopsida, Fabales, Fabaceae.